GACGAACGCUGGCGGCGUGCCUAACACAUGCAAGUCGAACGGAACUUCUUUAAAGGAUUUCUUCGGAAUGAAUUUGAUUAAGUUUAGUGGCGGACGGGUGAGUAACGCGUGAGUAACCUGCCUCUGAGAGGGGAAUAACAUUCUGAAAAGAAUGCUAAUACCGCAUAACAUAUAUUUAUCGCAUGGUAGAUAUAUCAAAGAUUUAUCGCUUAGAGAUGGACUCGCGUCCGAUUAGUUAGUUGGUGAGGUAACGGCUCACCAAGACUGCGAUCGGUAGCCGGACUGAGAGGUUGAACGGCCACAUUGGGACUGAGAUACGGCCCAGACUCCUACGGGAGGCAGCAGUGGGGAAUAUUGGGCAAUGGGCGCAAGCCUGACCCAGCAACGCCGCGUGAAGGAAGAAGGCUUUCGGGUUGUAAACUUCUUUUAAGAGGGAAGAGCAGAAGACGGUACCUCUAGAAUAAGCACGGCUAACUACGUG
RNAcentral lists this ribosomal RNA (481 nucleotides) under uncultured bacterium. RNAcentral's name for it is "bacterial SSU rRNA". It matches the Rfam family "Bacterial small subunit ribosomal RNA", at positions 28 to 507 of the family's 1533-position model. The record is from RNAcentral.